RNAcentral lists this small RNA (447 nucleotides) under Pongo abelii (Sumatran orangutan). RNAcentral describes it as "retained intron". Lineage: Eukaryota; Metazoa; Chordata; Mammalia; Primates; Hominidae. The record is from RNAcentral.
GGUCGGGGAGGGGCCAGAAGGGGGCGUCCAGCCAGUUCCUCCUCCCGCUUCCACCGCCCGCCAGUGCGCCCUGCGGCCCCAGACUUCCCCGAGCCGCGCUCCUCCCGGCCGCUCUCUGCUAACCUGCCCCCGUCUUACCUCCCCUUCUUCUCGUCCCCUCAUCCUGAGCCCCAGACAUCCGAGCUGCCUGCCGGGGCUCCCAGCCUAGAGCUCUCCGCGAGCUGACCGAGGGUCUCCACCGCCCCCCACCCCCGCUCCUCUAUCCCCUCCCCAGAGCACCAAUUUUGCGGGGGGCGGCUGGAGAAGGCCCAGGGAACCCUGACCACGCCCAACUGGCCCGAGUCCGAUUACCCCCCGGGCAUCAGCUGUUCCUGGCACAUCAUCGCGCCCCCGGACCAGGGUCCCAUGGGUGUGUGUGGUCCUCCGUGCUGUGGUGUGAACGCCUUC